This is a long non-coding RNA of Hypanus sabinus (Atlantic stingray), 307 nucleotides long. RefSeq lists it as uncharacterized. The transcript is spliced from 3 exons. The record is from RefSeq and is a predicted model, not a curated record. NCBI's taxonomy places the organism in Eukaryota, Metazoa, Chordata, Chondrichthyes, Myliobatiformes, Dasyatidae.
AGGAGAAUGAGAGGAGACAUGAUAGAGGUAUACAAGAUAUUAAGAGGAAUAAAUAGAAUGGACGGCCAGCACCUCUCCCCCAGGGCACCACUGCUCAAUACAAGAGGACAUGGCUUUAAGAUCAUUCUGCAACCACCACCACGUCCAGUGCUCUGAAGUAGCCAAUUCAAGUUUGUCAAACUUCAAAGUUCAAGAGAUUCGAUGUUUGAGACUUUGCACGUGAUACCGCAGCCUGGAACUGCUUGAAAAUCUGAACAUGAGCCAAGCACUUCUGAACCUAGUUCCUAAAAUGAUAAAAAUAAAUUUC